Molecule: ribosomal RNA, 440 nt
Filed under: uncultured bacterium
Lineage: Bacteria
Description: partial 16S ribosomal RNA
Rfam family: Bacterial small subunit ribosomal RNA
Source: RNAcentral
CCUACGGGAGGCAGCAGUGGGGAAUAUUGCACAAUGGGGGAAACCCUGAUGCAGCGACGCCGCGUGAGUGAAGAAGUCUUUCGGUACGUAAAGCUCUAUUAGUAGGGAAGAAACUCACGUUACCUGUCUAACAUUCCCCGUCUAAUUACGUGACAGCCGCCGCGGUAACACGGAGGGGGCAAGCGUUAUCCGGAUUUACUGGGUGUAAAGGGAGCGUAGCCGGCAGCGCAAGUCUGGAGUGAAAUGCCAUGGCUUAACCAUGGAACUGCUUUGGAAACUGUGCAGCUAGAGUGCAGGGGAGGUAAGCGGAAUUCCUAGUGUAGCGGUGAAAUGCGUAGAUAUUAGGAGGAACACCAGUGGCGAAGGCAGCUUACCAAACUAUAUCUGACGUUGAGGCACGAAAGCGUGGGUAGCAAACAGGAUUAGAUACCCCAGUAGUC